AAAAAAGGUAAGCUACUAAGAGCGAAUGGUGGAUGCCUUGACUGGUAAAGGCGAUGAAGGACGUACUAGACUGCGAUAAGCUACGGGGAGCUGUCAAGAAGCUUUGAUCCGUAGAUUUCCGAAUGGGGCAACCCAAUGUAUAGAGAUAUACAUUACCUAUAUAGGAGCGAACGAGGGGAAUUGAAACAUCUUAGUACCCUCAGGAAAAGAAAUCAAUAGAGAUUGCGUCAGUAGCGGCGAGCGAAAGCGCAAGAGGGCAAACCCAGUGCUUGCACUGGGGGUUGUAGGACUGCAAUGUGCAAGAGGUAAGUUUAGCAGAACAUUCUGGAAAGUAUAACCAUAGAGGGUGAUAGUCCCGUAUGCGAAAAACAAACCUUAGCUAGCAGUAUCCUGAGUAGGGCGGGACACGAGGAAUCCUGUCUGAAUCCGGGUCGACCACGAUCCAACCCUAAAUACUAAUACCAGAUCGAUAGUGCACAAGUACCGUGAGGGAAAGGUGAAAAGAACUGAGGUGAUCAGAGUGAAAUAGAACCUGAAACCAUUUGCUUACAAUCAUUCAGAGCCCUAUGUAGCAAUACAGGGUGAUGGACUGCCUUUUGCAUAAUGAGCCUGCGAGUUGUGGUGUCUGGCAAGGUUAAGCAAACGCGAAGCCGUAGCGAAAGCGAGUCUGAAUAGGGCGCUUAGUCAGAUGCUGCAGACCCGAAACGAAGUGAUCUAUCCAUGAGCAAGUUGAAGCUAGUGUAAGAACUAGUGGAGGACUGAACCCAUAGGCGUUGAAAAGCCCUGGGAUGACUUGUGGAUAGGGGUGAAAGGCCAAUCAAACUUCGUGAUAGCUGGUUCUCUCCGAAAUAUAUUUAGGUAUAGCGUUGUGUCGUAAUAUAAGGGGGUAGAGCACUGAAUGGGCUAGGGCAUACACCAAUGUACCAAACCCUAUCAAACUCCGAAUACCUUAUAUGUAAUCACAGCAGUCAGGCGGCGAGUGAUAAAAUCCGUCGUCAAGAGGGAAACAACCCAGACUACCAGCUAAGGUCCCUAAAUCUUACUUAAGUGGAAAACGAUGUGAAGUUACUUAAACAACCAGGAGGUUGGCUUAGAAGCAGCCAUCCUUUAAAGAAAGCGUAAUAGCUCACUGGUCUAGUGAUUUUGCGCGGAAAAUAUAACGGGGCUAAAGU
RNAcentral lists this ribosomal RNA (1172 nucleotides) under Campylobacter jejuni. Its description in RNAcentral is "partial 23S ribosomal RNA". It matches the Rfam family "Bacterial large subunit ribosomal RNA", at positions 1 to 1188 of the family's 2925-position model. Lineage: Bacteria; Pseudomonadati; Campylobacterota; Epsilonproteobacteria; Campylobacterales; Campylobacteraceae. The record is from RNAcentral.